AUUGAACGCUGGCGGCAGGCCUAACACAUGCAAGUCGAGCGGAUGAAGGGAGCUUGCUCCUGGAUUCAGCGGCGGACGGGUGAGUAAUGCCUAGGAAUCUGCCUGGUAGUGGGGGAUAACGUCCGGAAACGGGCGCUAAUACCGCAUACGUCCUGAGGGAGAAAGUGGGGGAUCUUCGGACCUCACGCUAUCAGAUGAGCCUAGGUCGGAUUAGCUAGUUGGUGGGGUAAAGGCCUACCAAGGCGACGAUCCGUAACUGGUCUGAGAGGAUGAUCAGUCACACUGGAACUGGGACACGGUCCAGACGCCUACGGGAGGCAGCAGUGGGGAAUAUUGGACAAUGGGCGAAAGCCUGAUCCAGCCAUGCCGCGUGUGUGAAGAAGGUCUUCGGAUUGUAAAGCACUUUAAGUUGGGAGGAAGGGCAGUAAGUUAAUACCUUGCUGUUUUGACGUUACCAACAGAAUAAGCACCGGCUAACUUCGUG
RNAcentral lists this ribosomal RNA (484 nucleotides) under uncultured bacterium. RNAcentral's name for it is "partial 16S ribosomal RNA". It matches the Rfam family "Bacterial small subunit ribosomal RNA", at positions 30 to 507 of the family's 1533-position model. The record is from RNAcentral.